Non-coding RNA from Methanohalophilus mahii DSM 5219, 69 nucleotides. NCBI's taxonomy places the organism in Archaea, Methanobacteriati, Methanobacteriota, Methanomicrobia, Methanosarcinales, Methanosarcinaceae. The record is from Rfam.
GGAAACCUGAUCAGGUAGAUCAAAUGGACUCUAGAUCCAUUCAGCCGGGUUAGAUUCCCGGGGUUUCCG